UACGAAGGGAGCUAGCGUUGUUCGGAAUCACUGGGCGUAAAGCGCACGUAGGCGGAUGUGUCAGUCAGUGGUGAAAUCCCGGAGCUCAACUUCGGAACUGCCUUUGAUACAGCACGUCUUGAGUCCGGAAGAGGUGGGUGGAAUUCCUAGUGUAGAGGUGAAAUUCGUAGAUAUUAGGAAGAACACCGGUGGCGAAGGCGGCCCACUGGUCCGGUACUGACGCUGAGGUGCGAAAGCGUGGGGAGCAAACAGG
RNAcentral lists this ribosomal RNA (253 nucleotides) under uncultured bacterium. RNAcentral describes it as "partial 16S ribosomal RNA". It matches the Rfam family "Bacterial small subunit ribosomal RNA", at positions 524 to 776 of the family's 1533-position model. The record is from RNAcentral.